This 490-nucleotide ribosomal RNA is filed under the name uncultured bacterium. Its description in RNAcentral is "partial 16S ribosomal RNA". It matches the Rfam family "Bacterial small subunit ribosomal RNA", at positions 28 to 507 of the family's 1533-position model. The record is from RNAcentral.
GAUGAACGCUAGCGAUAGGCUUAACACAUGCCAGUCGAGGGGCAGCAUGGUCUUAGCUUGCUAAGACUGAUGGCGACCGGCGCACGGGUGCGUAACGCGUAUGCAACUUGCCUCACAGAGGGGGAUAACCCGUCGAAAGACGGACUAAUACCGCGUACACUUGGGAUAGGGCAUCCUGACCCAAGGAAAUGAAAUUCGCUGUGAGAUAGGCAUGCGUCCCAUUAGCUAGUUGGUGAGGUAACGGCUCACCAAGGCGACGAUGGGUAGGGGAACUGAGAGGUUGAACCCCCACACUGGUACUGAGACACGGACCAGACUCCUACGGGAGGCAGCAGUGAGGAAUAUUGGUCAAUGGGCGAGAGCCUGAACCAGCCAAGUCGCGUGAAGGAUGACUGUCUUAUGGAUUGUAAACUUCUUUUAUACGGGAAUAACAAGAGCCACGUGUGGCUCCCUGCAUGUACCGUAUGAAUAAGCAUCGGCUAACUCCGUG